UGUGGGGGAAGCUCACAUAGAGGUCACAUGCAGGUUGCUCAUCCUCACCAAUCACUUGGGGAAGGUCUGAGACAAGAGCCAAUCAUGCCCUAGCAGGGUAUCACCUGAUCUGGGUGAUUAGUGCACAGAGAUAUGAGCCAUUGUGAGUUGUCUUUACAGGAGAAACCAGCCAGUGCGCUCUCCAGCACUACUGGUGGAUGUGACCUCACUGGUUUGGAAACACUCAUGGUGGCAUAGUGCAAUGUGUGAGUUGGAGUACACUCCAGAACCCAAUUGAGACUACCUCUGCCACA
Molecule: RNase P RNA, 293 nt
Filed under: Oncorhynchus tshawytscha (Chinook salmon)
Lineage: Eukaryota; Metazoa; Chordata; Actinopteri; Salmoniformes; Salmonidae
Description: Nuclear RNase P
Rfam family: Nuclear RNase P
About the family: Ribonuclease P (RNase P) is a ubiquitous endoribonuclease, found in archaea, bacteria and eukarya as well as chloroplasts and mitochondria. Its best characterised activity is the generation of mature 5'-ends of tRNAs by cleaving the 5'-leader elements of precursor-tRNAs.
Source: Rfam by way of RNAcentral